RNAcentral lists this ribosomal RNA (999 nucleotides) under Salmonella enterica subsp. enterica serovar Enteritidis. RNAcentral describes it as "partial 23S ribosomal RNA". It matches the Rfam family "Bacterial large subunit ribosomal RNA", at positions 1292 to 2274 of the family's 2925-position model. The record is from RNAcentral. Lineage: Bacteria; Pseudomonadati; Pseudomonadota; Gammaproteobacteria; Enterobacterales; Enterobacteriaceae.
GAAUGCUGACAUAAGUAACGAUAAAGCGGGUGAAAAGCCCGCUCGCCGGAAGACCAAGGGUUCCUGUCCAACGUUAAUCGGGGCAGGGUGAGUCGACCCCUAAGGCGAGGCCGAAAGGCGUAGUCGAUGGGAAACGGGUUAAUAUUCCCGUACUUGGUGUUACUGCGAAGGGGGGACGGAGAAGGCUAUGUUGGCCGGGCGACGGUUGUCCCGGUUUAAGCGUGUAGGUGUGUGUUCCAGGUAAAUCCGGUUCACUUUAACACUGAGGCGUGACGACGAGGCACUACGGUGCUGAAGCAACAAAUGCCCUGCUUCCAGGAAAAGCCUCUAAGCAUCAGGUAACAUCAAAUCGUACCCCAAACCGACACAGGUGGUCAGGUAGAGAAUACCAAGGCGCUUGAGAGAACUCGGGUGAAGGAACUAGGCAAAAUGGUGCCGUAACUUCGGGAGAAGGCACGCUGACACGUAGGUGAAGUGAUUUACUCAUGGAGCUGAAGUCAGUCGAAGAUACCAGCUGGCUGCAACUGUUUAUUAAAAACACAGCACUGUGCAAACACGAAAGUGGACGUAUACGGUGUGACGCCUGCCCGGUGCCGGAAGGUUAAUUGAUGGGGUCAGCGCAAGCGAAGCUCCUGAUCGAAGCCCCGGUAAACGGCGGCCGUAACUAUAACGGUCCUAAGGUAGCGAAAUUCCUUGUCGGGUAAGUUCCGACCUGCACGAAUGGCGUAAUGAUGGCCAGGCUGUCUCCACCCGAGACUCAGUGAAAUUGAACUCGCUGUGAAGAUGCAGUGUACCCGCGGCAAGACGGAAAGACCCCGUGAACCUUUACUAUAGCUUGACACUGAACAUUGAGCCUUGAUGUGUAGGAUAGGUGGGAGGCUUUGAAGUGUGGACGCCAGUCUGCAUGGAGCCGACCUUGAAAUACCACCCUUUAAUGUUUGAUGUUCUAACGUGGACCCGUUACCCGGGUUGCGGACAGUGUCUGGUGGGUAGUUUGAC